RNAcentral lists this unclassified non-coding RNA (2954 nucleotides) under Hevea brasiliensis (rubber tree). The record is from RNAcentral. Lineage: Eukaryota; Viridiplantae; Streptophyta; Magnoliopsida; Malpighiales; Euphorbiaceae.
UAAAUAACUUGGGAUGAAUCAGAAUGUAACACCAAGAACACCUCAUUCCAGCGUCAUGGAAUCCCUACAUAACCACCAUUUGCCAUUUUCUAUGCCCAAGUCCACAUAACUUCAAACAGAAUUGUGAUCUAUGAUUUUCAUUUCUUUGUAAUGGAGUCCACAAGAAGUCCAAACUAAAUACAAGUUGACUUAAGCGCAGUAAAUUUCAGUGUGUAUAUUCUAAAGUAAUCAUACAGUAAUAGUUUCUUGCAUGUGACUAUCAAAUCGAUUCUGGGUCAAUACUUGCCUUGCUCGGUCACUCCUAUAUUGAAGACGCUGGUGCAGGGUCUCAGACAAUUGGUCGAAGAAUUCAGCAUCCCAUCUGCGAAUCAACAAUGGGUCUUCCGCAUAGCAGAUAUAUAUGGAUGUAACAGCACUCUCAACCACAACCAUGGCUACUCCAACCUGGAGCAGAAGUAUCCCUCGUGUUAGUCACAUGCACACGCACAAAGUAUGGUUUUGGUUGGGAGGGACGUGCAAACAAGAAAAACAUGCUAUAAUGCAAUGAGAUACAAAUGCAAUUUGCAGCAUCAAAGCAUGGUUUGUGAUUCAGAUUACAAUCUCAUUCAUUGUUGAUGAGCAGUAUUUUCACAGAACUAUCACCCAAUUAUAUGGUCAAUAAAUGGCUGGCUUUGCUUGGACCUUUAGAGAAAUAUGAAACUGAAGCCAACUUUUAUUUAUUACAGCAACUGCAACCCAUCAGCAACAGCAGUUGAAGGAUCAUCAAAAACCUCUAUCAACAUAGAACAAGAUGCAACUUAUCCUGAAAGAGAAUUCUGAUAGAGCACAAUUAAUAUGCAGGGUCUCUCAUUCUGCUGAAAUUUUCUUAAAAAUGAACCAUAAACAUUUGCUUUAUAAACAAGAUGUAUACUUCAUUUUCUUUUCCAGGAUGAGUACUUGCCACUUGGUCAAAAGGUUAAUCUGUCUAAACUCUGCUGUUUACAUAAGACUGAAGGGCAAAGUGGCUAGUUGCUACAUUGAAACAUAAUUCCAAAAUCCAACUUUUAAACAACCAAGGAAACUGCAUAUCCUUUAAAUAAUGCGAUACUUGGAGCACAAGAACCAGCAAGAGAAACAUGGAACUUCCAAUUGACUAUGGGAUUACAAAGCAGUUAGCAAAAAUAUAAACACCAGGCAAGAAAGAAAACGUACCAAGACCAUUCCCAUCAACAUUGCAGUGGAUCCUAUCAUGAUUACUCUGUCACUCCACUUGAUAUAAGUCCAAACAGCUGAGCAUGUUCCCGUGAUUAGUCCACUCAAAAGUGUUCCCAUCAGCAGAACAGCACCUGAACAAUCAUAGGCCACAAGUGCUUCAACUCCAGUUGAUUGGAAUAAUUCCCAGGCAUCCCUUGCUGAAUGGUUAAAACUUUUGCCAUAAACAGCUAUCUGAAAGAACCGAUCAAACUAUGCUAUUGUUAUUUAAUUUUGCACAAAUUGGCCAUCACUAAUCCCAAUUCAACUAUUUCUUAGCAAAAAAUACAAAAUCAAAAUUAAGAAUUCAAAUUCCAAAGUGAAAACACUUCUACUGAACAGUGCACUACCAUCCACGGUGGAAAAAGUAGAAGCAUACUUCACCUUGAGAACCCGGCAUAAAAGACAAGUCCAAUGGAAAUCUUGUGAUACAUUGAAAAAAUCUAUUGAAUAAAAAUAUAAACCAGAUUCUCAAUAAAUGAUCAAAUGUUCGUUUUUUAGAGCAUAAUUGAAUUUGACAUAAUUGAUAUAUGAUGGUGAGACAAAAAGAAAAAAAUGGUUAACAGAAGUCAAGGGCAAGGAAAAAAGACAUACAUGUUUCAACAAAUCCCCACCCACCAACCCCACAAGUUAAAAAAAAAAUGAAGAAAACAGGAUGGAAUGUAUAUUCCGCUCAUUAGAUGCCCUAAAGGAUUAGAAGUACAUAUGUAAAUGGAGAAAUAUAUCAUGAGGCAAAUGCAUUGGAAACCCAGAAAAGUAGGACACGUUACAUUCAAAUUGGAAUCCCCAAUUGCACAAUACAUUGCCUCAGGAGUACUUCCAUAUGAUAAAUUAUGAACCACAUACUAAAAUUACAAGAGAAGGCCAUUCAAUAAUUCCCUUAUAUAUUUUUUAAUCUUCUGAAUCUUCUCUAACAUCAAUGCAUAAUACCAACUAGCCUCAAUUUCUUCAGGCCACUCUGCACUGUCAAGUCAGCUGAAAUUGUAGCAAAAUCCAAUAUUUCUUGAAGCAAUUUUUUCUUAUCCAAACUUUCUCAUUUUCGUAUUCCUUUCCAUCCAAACAUAACCCAUUUCCCAAAGCAUAUUAAUUACCAAUAUGAAAAAUAAAGGCCAUUGCCACUUCUGGAAAACAUUUUCACGUUCAUUGUCAUUCCCAAAACACAAACUUGCUCAUUUUCCUUCAGCACCUGAGACUGCAGGGAAUAUAAAAACUACACCAUUUUUUCUGUCUCCAGAUUUUUUGUUUUUCUUGUUGCAAAACUUGGAAGCUGGAACCUUAUCUGAAACUGAGUCAGCAAACUUGUUUUGUUUUCUACAACACACUCCCCAAGCAUUCAAGGUCCUAUUACUCAUAAUCUUCUUCUACCUUUCUUAAUUAAUCAAAACAUAUAUGCACAAGACUGAACACAUUUGCUAAUUCCCAUGGCCUUCCAACAUGAUCUCCAUAACACUUCAUUAUGCAAUGAAUCAACUUUUUUGUUCUAUAAAAAUGAUCCUCUUUUCAUCAUAGACCGCCAAGUCUAGAUAUAGGCACAUCACAUUUCUAAAUUUCAAUUUCCUACUCUACCCACUCAAUGACUUUCAAUAUCCCCAUUCCACUCAGUUAUACCAUCAAAUCUGUUACCAGGUUGCUUUAUGUUAAAAAAUAAACACCAAUGCACAAAAUUUAAAUUUCAAACAUGGCAUAUAUCACUUUCAAAGUGUUAUGGAAAGUCAAUCAAUAUA